Molecule: long non-coding RNA, 622 nt
Organism: Amphiprion ocellaris (clown anemonefish)
Lineage: Eukaryota; Metazoa; Chordata; Actinopteri; Pomacentridae
Exons: 3
Source: RefSeq, a predicted model, not a curated record
UCUCCCCCUCCUCCCUCUCAUGCAGGCGGCAUGUGUGAUGGAACUGAUGGGCAGGCGCUGCUACUCCAAUCAGCUGAGAGCAAUCAGUCAUCGGCCAUCUCCUCCUGCAUCUAAGCAGACGCUCUGCUCUCAGUUGAUGUUGGACCAUUGAACCAGUCACUUUGGGCUUCCACCUGCUUGUACCAACCCGGAUCCACCAUCUCGGAACCGCGUGGAACUCUGGCACAUCAGCUCACCAACAACACCGUCAGAAGCAUUGUGGAGCAGUGCAGUAGUUAGCAUUGGAGUGCUCCAGCUUCCUCCUACAAAUACAUGCAUGGAGUGAGAAAAGGAAAUGGAAUGGAAAAGACCGUUGUUCAGUGGAGUUCUACUAGCAGAGCAACUAAGCCAACCAGCUGUUCACUCCCAACAGGAGCCUCUGAUCUCACUGAACUUCAAAGACCAGGUCGACCAUCUCCUCCCACCCUCCUCCUUCAACCCAAACUUCUACCUUCAUCCUCUCAAGCUGCCUCCAUCAGCUCAGUCCCACCUUAUCUCACUCAUCCUUCUCUGUUGUCUAUGUUAACAUGCUGCUGUGACAAAUUAAUUUCCUAUGAAGGAUCAAUAAAGUAUAUUCAUUCUA